AACAGGGAUUGCCCUAGUAACGGCGAGUGAAGCGGCAACAGCUCAAAUUUGAAAUCUGGCUCCGCUCUGGGGUCCGAGUUGUACUUUGCAGAGGGCGCUUUGGCGUCGGCAGCGGUCUAAGUUCCUUGGAACAGGACGUCACAGAGGGUGAGAAUCCCGUACGUGGCUGCUUGCCUUCGCCGUGUAAAGCCCCUUCGACGAGUCGUGUUGUUUGGGAAUGCAGCACUAAAUGGGAGGUAAAUUUCUUCUAAAGCUAAAUACCGGCCAGAGACCGAUAGCGCACAAGUAGAGUGAUCGAAAGAUGAAAAGCACUUUGGAAAGAGAGUCAAAAAGCACGUGAAAUUGUUGAAAGGGAAGCGCUUGCAGCCAGACUUGCUUGCGGUUGCUCAUCCGGGCCUGUGCCCGGUGUACUCUUCCGCAGGCAGGCCAGCAUCAGUUUGGGCGACUGGAGAAAGGCCUCUGUCACGUACCUUCCCUCGGGAAGGCCUUAUAGGGGAGGCGUAAUGCAGCCAGUCCAGACUGAGGUCCGCGCAUCUGCUAGGAUGCUGGCGUAAUGGCUGUAAGCGGCCCGUCUUGAAACACGGACCAAGGAGUCUAACAUCUAUGCGAGUGUUUGGGUGUCAAGCCCGAGCGCGUAAUGAAAGUGAACGGAGGUGAGAACCCUCGGGUGCAUCAUCGACCGAUCCUGAUGUCUUCGGAUGGAUUUGAGUAAGAGCAUAGCUGUUGGGACCCGAAAGAUGGUGAACUAUGCUUGAAUAGGGUGAAGCCAGAGGAAACUCUGGUGGAAGCUCGCAGCGGUUCUGACGUGCAAAUCGAUCGUCAAAUUUGGGCAUAGGGGCGAAAGACUAAUCGAACUAUCU
RNAcentral lists this ribosomal RNA (860 nucleotides) under Crassiparies quadrisporus. RNAcentral describes it as "partial large subunit ribosomal RNA". It matches the Rfam family "Eukaryotic large subunit ribosomal RNA", at positions 67 to 945 of the family's 3401-position model. The record is from RNAcentral. Lineage: Eukaryota; Fungi; Ascomycota; Dothideomycetes; Pleosporales; Neohendersoniaceae.